CAGAUUGUCUUCACUUAGAGUUACAAGCAUUUAGACAAUUCUCUAAACUAUAAUGCAACAUAUUCAGAAUAUGAACAUUUUAUGAUAACUUUCUAUGAAAAAGACCUGCUAGAUAUUGUGCACAAGUAAUCUCAUACUUACAAGAACAGAUUUCCACAUUUCAUGAUUGAGACAGAUUCAGCUAUAGCACUUUCAUAUUUUCAAGAAUUUGCAAAUGGGCUUUUUUAAGUACUCCUAAUAAUGGUGUUUCAGAUCAGAUCUUUUGUCACAAUAAAUCAUAUGCCAUUAAUAUAAUCUCCUAGCAUGCUCACCUUGAAAUUCAUUUAUAUUUUAAAGAACAUGAUGUUUCUAACAUUAUCUUAAGGAAAUUAAUUACCAAAAUAUAUAGUUCUCUCUAUGCUUCUUAUGACAGAAAUUGAAAGAACUGGGAAUGAUAAUGAUUUUUCCGGUGGUACUUAAGGGAGUGCUAGUUGAGAGGUUUAUAUCAUAUUCUUUUCCAAAUUUCUCUGUAAAUCUAAGUUAACUGUUAGAAGGAAAUAUAUGCUGUUCAACUUUCUAAACUUUAAGGUAGUCUGUAGUCAAAAUGAAUUUAAUUAAAUGUCUUUUUAGUCUGAAAAAAUUCUGAAAAUAUUUAUGCUAUUUAAAACCAUUUCCUACAUAAUAUUGGUGUUUAGAAUAUUUAUAUAACUUGACGAUUAUUUACAGUCAUAUUUAUACUUAUAAUUCAAAUAUAUUACACCUUUCUGGGUUUUAUUUAGAAAAAGCAUUUUAAGUUCUUGCUUUUUAAAAAUGGUAUUAACAAUUAUAUGUAAAUACACUAAAAUAUGCAUCUAUUAAUAAUAUAAUUAUGAACUUAUAAUGAUUUUGGAUAAAAUACAGAAUAAAUUUCCUGUGUAAAACUGUGCAGCAUUGACAGGGGCUUAUAGGUAACUCUUCAAAAUUUAACUAACUAUAGAAAAAGUUGUUUCGGAGUUCUCAUUGUGGCUCAGCAGUAAUGAACCCAACUAGUAUCCAUGAGGAUGUGGCUUCAACCCCUGGCCUUGCUCGGUGGGUUAAGGAUCUGGCAUUCCCAUGAGCCGUGGUGUAGGUCACAGACCAGCUUGGAUCCCAUAUUGCUGUGGCUGUGGUGUAGGCCAGAGGAUACAGCUCAUAAUUCGACCCCUAGCCUGGGAAU
RNAcentral lists this long non-coding RNA (1174 nucleotides) under Sus scrofa (pig). Its description in RNAcentral is "lncRNA (ENSSSCG00025045615.1)". The record is from RNAcentral. Lineage: Eukaryota; Metazoa; Chordata; Mammalia; Artiodactyla; Suidae.